UACAAGUUCCGUGGUAACCAGCGGAGGGAUCAUUA
This 35-nucleotide ribosomal RNA is filed under the name Scedosporium boydii. RNAcentral's name for it is "partial 18S ribosomal RNA". Lineage: Eukaryota; Fungi; Ascomycota; Sordariomycetes; Microascales; Microascaceae. The record is from RNAcentral.